Small nuclear RNA from Myotis lucifugus (little brown bat), 131 nucleotides. Its record names the gene U4. It matches the Rfam family "U4 spliceosomal RNA". Rfam says of the family: U4 small nuclear RNA (U4 snRNA) is a component of the major U2-dependent spliceosome. The structure of U4 snRNA from yeast and human has been reported. U4 snRNA presents a k-turn RNA motif in the 5p-SL related to recognition of Snu13 protein. NCBI's taxonomy places the organism in Eukaryota, Metazoa, Chordata, Mammalia, Chiroptera, Vespertilionidae. The record is from Ensembl.
AGCUUUGCGCAGUGGCAGUAUCAUAGCCAAUUAGGUUUACCCGAGGCAAGAUUAUUAUUAAUUGAAAAAAUAAUAAUAAAAAUAAAGUCAAAUACUCUGGAGCAAUUUUAAUUUGUGGUACUAAAUUCAGG